GAAUAAUCGCUUUUACUUUUCAGAAAAGGGAGAAAGUCUCCCCACUUUUGCAUGGAAGAUGUGGUCUAAAGGGCAAGGAAUGGAGUUAAUAGACUCAUUACUUGCGAAGUCAAAUGUGGCGGCACCUGAGGUCUUGAAGUACAUCCACAUUGGAUUGUUGUGUGUACAAGACGACCCAGCACAGAGACCUACAAUGUCAUCCGUUGUUGUUAUGUUGGGAAGCGAAAUAGCAACAUUUCCUCAGCCUA
This 248-nucleotide unclassified non-coding RNA is filed under the name Hevea brasiliensis (rubber tree). The record is from RNAcentral. Lineage: Eukaryota; Viridiplantae; Streptophyta; Magnoliopsida; Malpighiales; Euphorbiaceae.